GAUGAACGCUGGCGGCGUGCCUAAUACAUGCAAGUCGAGCGAACGGACGAGACGCUUGCUUCUCUGAUGUAUCGGCGGACGGGAGAGUAACACGUGGACAACCUACCUAUACGACUGGGAUAACUUUGGGAAACCGGAGCUACUACCGAAUAAUAUAUUGAACUGCAUGGUUCAAAAGUGAAAUUCGGUCUUUCGGUCACUAAUAGAUGGAUACGCGCUGCAUUAGCUAGUUGUUAAGGUAACGGCUUACCAAGGCAACGAUGCAUACACGACCUGAGAGGGUGGUCCGCCACACUGUAUCUGAGACACGGUCCAGACUCCUACGGUAGGAAGCAGUAGGGAAUCUUCCGCGAUGGACGAAAGCCUGACGGAGGAACGCCGCGUGAGUGAUGAAGGUCUUCGGAUCGUAAAACUCUGUUAUUAGGGAAGUACAUAUGUGUAAGUAACUGUGAACAUCUUGACGGUACCUAAUCAGAAAGCCACGGCUAACUCCGUG
RNAcentral lists this ribosomal RNA (496 nucleotides) under uncultured bacterium. Its description in RNAcentral is "partial 16S ribosomal RNA". It matches the Rfam family "Bacterial small subunit ribosomal RNA", at positions 28 to 507 of the family's 1533-position model. The record is from RNAcentral.